GUAGUUCCUGGGCCAGGGAUCAAACCUGCGCUGCCACAGGGACAACGCCAGAUCCUUAACCUGCUGCACCACAGCAGAAACUCAUCACCGCUCUUUGACAGAACAUUCGGGUAUCUACGACAAUGCAUGCAUCUCAGGGAGGGCGUUGUUUGAAGUCAGAUUUUACAUUGUUCCCCUUGACCGGUGCUGGUAAAAUUGGAUCCCGUCCCCGGACCCUGAUUUUUAGCAGUCACUAGUUUUGAGUGUAUAGACUCCCAUGAGGGCCAGUAUCAAGCUACUAAAACUUUAACAACUAGCCUGAAAAUUCUCUGAAUAGUAGAGAGACUUAAAACUUAACUGAACUGGUACAAGCUCUAGAGCUGAGACUGUUUUUAAAUAAAGAGAGAAGAGGAAAAUGAUGGGAUAAGUUUCCCNGGGGGGGGGGGGGGGGGGUGACAUGAGCAAGAGAACGGCGCCAGAAUCAAUUUCACAGGGAGCGGUUUCCUCACCACCGUAUCCACCUCACGUAUCUGUACUAGGGUCUCCAGAGAGACAGGACCAGCAGGAUAUCUACCUGUCUGUCUGUCUGUCUGUCUGUCUAUCUAUCUAUUAUCUAUCAUCUAUCUAUUAUCCAUCUAUUAUCUAUCUACCUAUCCUCUAUCUAUCUAUCUAUCUAUCUAUCUAUCUAUCAUCAUCUAUCUAUCUAUUAAAAGGGAUUGGCUCAAAUAGUUUGGAGGCUGAGAAGCCCCCAGAUCUGCAGUCAGCAAGAGGGAGCCCCAGAGAGCCAAUGGUUGGCUUUCCAUCGGAGUGCGGGUUGGCUUCCCAUCGGAGUCCGGGUUGGCUUCCCAUCGGAGUCCGGGGUUGGCUUCCCAUCGGAGUCCGGGGUGGGCUUCCCAUCGGAGUGCGGGUUGGCUUCCCACGGAGUCGGGGUUGGCUUCCCAUCGGAGUCCGGGGUGGCUUCCCAUCGGAGUGCGGGUUGGCUUCCCAGCGGAGUCGGGGUUGGCUUCCCAUCGGAGUGCGGGUUGGCUUCCCCUCGGAGUGCGGGUUGGCUUCCCAUCGGAGUGCGGGUUGGCUUCCCAUCGGAGUCCGGGUUGGCUUCCCAUCGGAGUGCGGGUGAGGACCUGGAGAGCUGACGCUGAAGCUCUUGGCCCACGUCCAGGUUAGAAGCCGAGAGAAGACCCAUGACCCAGCUUGAAAACAGUCACGCAGAGAGAGGGAGACGUCUGUCUUACCCGACGUUUGUGGUCUAUUCGGUCCUUCCGUGGAUGGAGGCAGCCCAUCCACGUGGGGGAGGGAACCUGCUUGGCUGAAUCUAUUGAUUCCAAUGGCAAUCUCAUCCAAAAUCACUCUGAGGGAUAAAUGGUUUUCGUUUAUCACUAUAAAACCAAGGACAAUUUUAUAACUUUUUGGUGUAUAGCUGUUACACGUAGGGCAAUCUCUCUUGAAGUCGGGAUAUGUUACUCUAAAAGAAAUGAAUUUUGGCUAGUUUUUCCUGCAAGCCAAGCAUCUUGUUGUUUAAAUAAACUUCUGGUUUAAAAUGAAAAAGAAAUACACCAGAAAUAAUGCUUAACUAAAUACCCAUAUACUCCAUAGCUAGUCAUAUAAAAUUAACCAUCACAGUAUUUUUAUUAUUGAACUCGGCUCACUGAAUUGGAGUAUCUAUGAAACAAGGUGUUAAAGAGACUUCCUGAAUGUUGGCUAAAGCUGAAAAUUGGAACCAUGAAGAGAGAAAUGCUCCCCUAUUCUAAAGAAGACUACUGGGUUUCUUUCUGCAUUGAAUGAGCUUGUCUCUUAAUCACCAGGACUCAUCUCCAGCAUCUAGGAAAUAAAAUUAAAAUUUGGAAAGAUCAAUUUCCUAAAGAAAUGUGUAAGAGUAGGACAUAUUUUGACCUUUCUCUUCUUGGAGAAAAGAAGAAGAUGGUACUUCUUUUUCCGGCCAAACGAUAGUCUCUAAGCCAAGAAACACUUAAGGGGAUUGGGCAGGUGCGCACCAGAUGCUGACUGAGCGGAAGCACAUCCAUAGGCACAGCCCAAAGUGUCAGUGUGACCUCAGUGCAGUUGCCUGGGGUUGGGAGUGUAUACGAAGAUAUAGGGAUUAGUGGUUGCUUCCCACCUGGAGAAUCCUGAGAGUGGGAAGCUAGCAUAGUGAGGAAAGAAGACCACAGCUGGAUAAGCAGGAAAAUAAAGCAUGCCAUUUUUUGAAGAUCAAGGGACAUUUAGGAAUGUGGUUGGUUUGGACUCUCUUGAAAGGAGCUUACCUAUCCCAGAGGGCUGCCUACUGGGCCAUGGUGCCCCAAAUGAAAGGGGCUAUCUCAUCAUUUCUAAGAAUAUUAGAUGAAGGUGCCAUUGUCUGAAGAUGCUGAUUUAUUAGAGCCGGUGUGUAGCUUAGAAUAUGUAUUUUAAAAAAAGACGUUCCCAACUAUUGAGCCAAGUUUAAGGUCCACUGGACUCAUAGAUGAUAACCUUUGAACAUCCCUCCGCAGCCACCUGCCUAAGUACCUGCAUUGCUGCCUCUCUACAAGUGUGGUUAUCUAGAAGCAGUAUAUACAUUCAAGUUCUUUUAAAACUGCAUAUGUAACAAUAUAAAUGGCAAGUAGAAAAAUGAUAUUUUUGGAGUUCCCAUUGUGGCUCACUGGGUUAUGAACCCAACUAGUAUCCAUGAGGAUGUGCGUUCAAUCCCUGGCCUCACUCAGUGGGUUAAGGAUCCUGUGUUGCUGUGGCAGUGGUGUAGGCCGGCAGCUGCAGCUUCAAUUCUACCCCCAGCCUGGGAACUUUCAUAUACCCUAAAAAGUGGGGGAAAAAAAAGAAAGAAAGAAAGAAAGAAAAAAGUAAAAGAGAAACGAUGUUUUCCUUCCUAUACUGCUCAAACAAAUGCAUACUCUAUUCUAAAUGGAAUCUUCUUUUUCUUUUGCUUUUUUAGGUUCCCACCUGUGGCAUAUGGAGGUUCUCAGGCUAGGGGUCCAAUUGGAGCUGAAGCUGCUGGCCUACACCACAGCC
This 2976-nucleotide long non-coding RNA is filed under the name Sus scrofa (pig). Its description in RNAcentral is "lncRNA (ENSSSCG00035037292.1)". The stretch from base 1404 to 1491 matches the Rfam family "mir-684 microRNA precursor family". The record is from RNAcentral. Lineage: Eukaryota; Metazoa; Chordata; Mammalia; Artiodactyla; Suidae.